AGAGGUGGACCUAUGCUCCUCCUUUUUCUUCUAUACAUAUGUAGCAAUAAAAUUUCUCACUUAUCAAAGAGAGGAUCUAAUAAGCUUGUAAUAUAGUAUAUCCAGUACUAGAAGAUUACUUUAUUUUGCUAUUUUAUACCUUCUGUGAUUAACAAGGAGAAAGACCUAUCAUAGUAGAAAAUGCAUAUCCAGUGCAUUGUUGUCUCUAAGUCAUCAAGUAAUCAAGAACAAAGUGAUGAUGACAAGUAAGGUUAUAUUGGUUCUGUUUCCUUUCUGGACACUAUAUUGAAGGUUAUUGAUAAGCUACGAUCAGUUAACCCUAAACUUGUAUAUGUUUGUGAUCCUGUGAUGGGCGAUGAAGGAAAGCUUUAUGUUCCUCCAGACAUGGUAUCUGUAUAUCGGGAGAAGGUUGUCCCUGUUGCUUCAAUGUUGACCCCUAACCAAUUUGAGGCAGAGCAGUUGACAGGACUCAGGUACUAUUUAUAGUUUUUUUCUCCCUUUUGAAGCAUUUUGAUGAUGCAUAACUUGUGAAAGCUGAACCACUGUAGUCGAAGUAGCAGAGAAGAGGAGAAGAAGAAGAGAUGCUGAAAAUGUCGAACUGUACUAGCCAGUCGACCAGUUCUUUAUUU
This is a non-coding RNA of Nelumbo nucifera (sacred lotus), 629 nucleotides long. The record is from RefSeq and is a predicted model, not a curated record. NCBI's taxonomy places the organism in Eukaryota, Viridiplantae, Streptophyta, Magnoliopsida, Proteales, Nelumbonaceae.